GCAAAUGAUAUUGUUAGAUGGUGACGUUAGUCACAAUUGCUACCGAGAUAGUAGUAUCCAUGUGUUUCUUCUAUUAGUUUUUUAAAGAUUUCAUAUUAUGUUUCAUUACAAAACAUGACAUACUAUGUAAACACAAAGAAAUAAUGUGCAUAAACAUUAGACUAAAGGUCCACAUUUAUUGUACUUAUUUGUACAACUGCUGGAUACCACGCCUCGUGUUGUGUCCUUCUGUGAUGCACUAUAUGCGCUGUAAUUAUCCAUGCACAAUGUUUUGAAUGUCAU
Pelobates cultripes (western spadefoot toad) is the source of this 282-nucleotide non-coding RNA. The record is from the annotation of a GenBank genome assembly. NCBI's taxonomy places the organism in Eukaryota, Metazoa, Chordata, Amphibia, Anura, Pelobatidae.